UACAGAGGAUGCAAGCGUUAUCCGGAAUGAUUGGGCGUAAAGCGUCUGUAGGUGGCUUUUUAAGUCCGCCGUCAAAUCCCAGGGCUCAACUCUGGACAGGCGGUGGAAACUACCAAGCUGGAGUACGGUAGGGGCAGAGGGAAUUUCCGGUGGAGCGGUGAAAUGCGUAGAUAUCUGGAGGAACACCGGUGGCGAAGGCGGCAUCCUGGACCGAGAUCGACGCUGAGGCGCGAAAGCCAGGGGAGCAAACGGG
This 253-nucleotide ribosomal RNA is filed under the name uncultured bacterium. Its description in RNAcentral is "partial 16S ribosomal RNA". It matches the Rfam family "Bacterial small subunit ribosomal RNA", at positions 524 to 776 of the family's 1533-position model. The record is from RNAcentral.